RNA transcript from Cynoglossus semilaevis (tongue sole), 2489 nucleotides. It is a transcript of the gene named phospholysine phosphohistidine inorganic pyrophosphate phosphatase, with no coding region annotated. The record is from RefSeq and is a predicted model, not a curated record. NCBI's taxonomy places the organism in Eukaryota, Metazoa, Chordata, Actinopteri, Pleuronectiformes, Cynoglossidae. The transcript has 17 exons.
CUCUUGCAGGUGGGUUUGAUAGCUCGUGGACGUCACUGCCGCGCAUGCGUUCUGAGUCUUCCUGAUUGUCAUGGCUGACACCAACUGGCCAAGCUGUUGCAGGAGUUUAAAAGGCGUCGUACUGGACAUGUGUGGUGUCCUGUACGACAGUGGAGAGGGCGACGGUGUGGCUAUACCAGGCUCCAUCGAAGCCGUGCAGAGGCUCAAGGCGUCCGACCUGCAGCUGCGCUUCUGCACCAAUGAGACCCAGGCCACCAGAGAGAAGUUUGUGGCCAAGCUGCAGAGGCUGGGCUUCGACAUCUCUGUUUCUGAGGUCUUCCCUCCUGCUCCUGCAGUGGUUGCUGUCCUUAAGCAGAGGGGUUUACGGCCUCACCUGCUGGUUUACGACGGAGUUCUCCCUGAGUUUGACAGCAUCGAUAAGACGAACCCAAACUGCGUGGUGAUUGGUGAUGCAGCCGAGAACUUCUCCUAUCAGAACCUGAACGAGGCAUUCAGGGUCCUGGUAGGCCUGGAAAAACCAGUGCUCUUCUCUAUGGGCCAAGGGAGAUACUACAAAGAGACAGAUGGUUUGAAAUUGGAUGUUGGUGUUUUUAUGAAGGCUUUGGAGUAUGCAUGUGAUUUAGAGGCCGAAGUCAUUGGAAAGCCAUCCCCAAUGUUCUUUCAGACCGUCCUUGGUGACAUGAACCUUCAACCACAUGAGGCAUUGAUGAUUGGAGACGAUUUGGUGAAUGAUGUGGGCGGGGCCCAGCAUUGUGGUAUGAAAGGUGUACAAGUCAGGACUGGCAAAUACAGGUUGAUGGAUCCUAAACAUCUGCAUUUCUGUCGGCACAUGUAAGAAGGCGAGUGAUGCCUGACGUGACUCAUCUUCUGAGGUGAUGACGCAACAAAAUGUGGAGACGUGGGACUUGGAAGAACUAGAUCAAAACCUGGAACAAAUCUGCACGGAACCACACCCACUUCCAUCUUCGUUGGAUUUCAUCUGCAGCUUCAAACAAAUGUGAGGACCUAGAGCUGAGUUGGCAGGGUCAUCUAAGGGCCUGCCACUACUGAAGCGCUGUACCAACAACAAAUACCAGAAGAGAAGUGCAACAGAAACUGGCCAAAUUGAACGGAUGACCUUAAUGAACAGUGAGGAGAAGAAAAGCAGGAAGCCAUCUUGAUCAGUGCGGUGGAAGCAGGCUGGUUUCUCAAAGGCUCACGACAGCAACCCUCAGCUCCUGCAGGAAUGUGCUUCACUCCUUUGCCCAAUCCUGAGCAGACACAGAAAGACAAGCCAGAGCAAUGGACCCUGGCGUGUGUUCAAGUCCAGGCAUUGGCCAGGGAUUAUUUCUUAUGCUUUCCAACAUCCCCUGGCUUUGCCCCUCACCAACCAACCAAUGUCAACAGUACGUCGUCAGUUAUCAUAAUGGAGAAACGUGUGGCUGUGCGGCCACGGUUAUGCUGUGUCCGGACAUCUGGCCUACGGCGGAAGUUGUGUGUGACAGCACUCCUGUUUAUCCUGACCGAGUGGGUGAGCCAAUCAACACUGAAGCAUGGCAGUGGUACUAGUGUGGUCGGGGACAAGCGUUGUCCCGUGGUUGUUACGUGGUGGCAAACAGGAGGAGCUGCAGGCCAUGCAGAUCCAGUAAGAGUUGCUCCACGCUCUGUGAUCCCAGCUCCAGCCUGAGGAGGGCACCAAUGAACUGCGAUGAAGCCCAGGAGAAGCUCCACGUGACAAGCAACAACCUGAAGAUGAGGGACCAGGAGCACAACUGGUGUAAGCCACCAGUGCUUUGACAGAAGAGGCAGAUGGUCAACAAAGCCACUCGUGAUCCUCGUAUCGUAAAGCAGGUGGAGCAUGCUGAUGGUUGUGUAGACGCGGUCAAUGUGUGAAAAGCAACAACAGAGAACAGAGAAGAAGAAGAAGAGCCCCGGCCAGCAUCUCCGCAUGAGACAUGAUGGAAAACAGCAGUAUCAGAAUCAAGCUCCCAUCCUCAUUAGCGAGAUAUUCUCUCCAAAACACAAGAGUCGCCGUGCGGGGUUGUCCUGAGUCCAGACCAGACCAGACGCUGAGCCUUGGUUGUGUCAAAACAAGAACAAGAACAGAAGUGGUGAGGAUGGAGAUGGAGGGCAGAACCUGACUCCAGCGCUGAGAGAGGAUGACUGGAGGAGGAGCUGUGCGUUCUGAAAAGUGAAACCAGACAGAAUACGUGUUGUGGAGAUAGUGAGGAGGGGUGGGAGUGUGUCUAAGGGUGGCGCUAAAGAAGAAUCCGUGUGUGCCAAUACGUUCCCAAAUUUAACAAAGUGAACAAUAUAAAUUCCUGGUGUGGAAAUAAAAAUUCAAUAUUUUUUACUGAAUAAUAAAAAUGUACUUACAUUUAUUUUUUUUCUCUUCUUAGAUUGGAUUGAAGCUCCACAAACGCAUGGUGGUGUUGUAAAUUACAACCAGUGACAAUAAACCGUGUAUCACAGCAAUUACAAUUGGGUGGACGGUGGGAUUAGUUAUACCA